GGAUCACCGGUCAUCUGACUACGGAUCAGAUGGUUGCGGGUUCGAAUCCUGCCGAGU
RNAcentral lists this transfer RNA (57 nucleotides) under Streptomyces rubiginosohelvolus. RNAcentral's name for it is "tRNA-Arg". Lineage: Bacteria; Bacillati; Actinomycetota; Actinomycetes; Kitasatosporales; Streptomycetaceae. RNAcentral also lists the same sequence under 2 other names. The record is from RNAcentral.